CACCGCGGUUAUACGAGAGACCCUAGUUGAUAAACAUCGGCGUAAAGAGUGGUUACGGAAAAGAUAAAUAAAGUCGAACAACCUCUUAGCUGUUAUACGCAUUAUGAGAGCAUGAAGCCCCUUCACGAAAGUAACUUUAAUACCCCCUGAACCCACGAAAGCUAAGAAA
This 169-nucleotide ribosomal RNA is filed under the name Hemigrammus erythrozonus (glowlight tetra). Its description in RNAcentral is "partial 12S rRNA". The record is from RNAcentral. Lineage: Eukaryota; Metazoa; Chordata; Actinopteri; Characiformes; Acestrorhamphidae.